This 484-nucleotide ribosomal RNA is filed under the name uncultured bacterium. Its description in RNAcentral is "partial 16S ribosomal RNA". It matches the Rfam family "Bacterial small subunit ribosomal RNA", at positions 30 to 507 of the family's 1533-position model. The record is from RNAcentral.
AUUGAACGCUGGCGGCAGGCCUAACACAUGCAAGUCGAGCGGAUGAAGGGAGCUUGCUCCUGGAUUCAGCGGCGGACGGGUGAGUAAUGCCUAGGAAUCUGCCUGGUAGUGGGGGAUAACGUCCGGAAACGGGCGCUAAUACCGCAUACGUCCUGAGGGAGAAAGUGGGGGAUCUUCGGACCUCACGCUAUCAGAUGAGCCUAGGUCGGAUUAGCUAGUUGGUGGGGUAAAGGCCUACCAAGGCGACGAUCCGUAACUGGUCUGAGAGGAUGAUCAGUCACACUGGAACUGAGACACGGCCCAGACUCCUACGGGAGGCAGCAGGGGGGAAUAUUGGACAAUGGGCGAAGGCCUGAUCCAGCCAUGCCGCGUGUGUGAAGAAGGUCUUCGGAUUGUAAAGCAUUUUAAGUUGGGAGGAAGGGUAGUAAGUUAAUACCUUGUUUUUUUGACGUUACCAACAGAAUAAGCCCCGGCUAACUUCGUG